UCGAACCCGGACCUUCUUGCUGUGAGGCGACAGCGCUAACCACUACACCACCGUGCCGCCCGACAAAGGAACUAAAGCAUCAAAUUUAGAACAGUGAUUAAGCCAUCUAGUCUGAAGAGUAUCUUACAUGAUUGCACAAGAAUGUGUCCUGGCGCAUUGUGACAAAGAUGUUUGCAAGAUAUUCCAUUUGUAUUAUUCAUAACACGUGGUUAAAUGCAUGAAUCAAUUACUUCCCUAAUCCUGGUAGAAUAUAAAGGAUCUUGGUCUGAAUAAGUGCAGUAUUAACGAAGGACAGAGUCAAUACAUAUUCCAGUGGGCUAUACUUCAUCAGCAAGGAUGCAGUUCUCUCUGACACCUCGCCAGUUGGUCUUUCUCUUUUACGUAAUCACAGUUCUGUUCAGCUGCGUGCUUGGAGGUGAGUGUUCUUAAUGAAGAUGCACUUAAAGUAAAAUCGGUGUGUAUACAUUACAUUAUUACAUCUUGUAUGAUAGGGUUCAUAUAUUUAACAUCUUGAAUUUUGUUGUACUGCAGUGCGCUCCACUGACCAGAAGCUGCAAACAUGUUGUAGACGCACCAGUGUUGGUUAUGUUCAAUCAAGGUAUAUAGCAAAAUGUGCCUAUACUGAGAAAUCAGGCAGAUGUCUUGAGGCCUAUGUUUUUUUGUUCAAGAAUGGGAGGCUCCAUUGCAGCAGUGUAAACGCAAAAGGGAUCAAUGCAACACUGGCAAUGUUAGAAAAGAAUGGAAUCACAUGUUUGGACAGGCCCAAGAGCUGACAUCUACAAGCAAGAAAACAAUGAGGUUCCAGUUGUUGUGCUGCAUACAGGACUGUUCUUACAUCAAAUAAUUGUUCUGCUUACAUGGCAGUACUCUGGAAGGGCAAAAACGACAAAAAGUUUUCAUGUAUUUUUGUAUUCCUGUGUAUUAGAGUAUUUAUUUAAUUUUAUGUUGAACACAAACUGGAUAUUUAUUCAAUGUUUAUCUAAUAUUUUACCUUACAAGGAUCUU
Molecule: long non-coding RNA, 1005 nt
Organism: Neoarius graeffei (lesser salmon catfish)
Lineage: Eukaryota; Metazoa; Chordata; Actinopteri; Siluriformes; Ariidae
Exons: 3
Source: RefSeq, a predicted model, not a curated record